AGAUAAAUAAAUAUUAUUGGUUCGUCAGUUAAAUUUUUAAUUUUCUUUAAAUUUAAAAUUUUAAGGUGAAAUUUUAAUUUUAUUUAAUUAGUUUUUUAUUGAAUCUGUGAAAUUUAUAUUAAAAACAAGGAUUAGAUACCCUUUUAUUUUAAAUGUAAUUUGGGGCCGGGGUAGUAAUAGUUAUGUUCUUGAAACCCAAAGAAUUUGGCGGUAUUUUAUUCUUUUUAGAGGAACCUGUCCUAUAAUUGAUAGUCCACGAUGGGAAAUUACUUAUUCUUGCAAUCAUUUUGUAUACCUCCGUCAUCAGAAUAUCUUUUUAGAGAGCAUGUUCUUAAUAUACAAAAUUUAAUAUGUCAGGUCAAGGUGUAAAUUAUGGAUAAGUAGAGAUGGGUUACAAUAAAUUUAUUUAUACGGAUUUAUAUAUUUAUUUAUAUAUUGAAGGUGGAUUUAAAAGUAAAAUUUUCUCCUUGUUAAUUUGAUUUUGGCUCUAAAAUAUGCACACAUCGCCCGUCGCUCUUAUUAUAAAAUAAGAUAAGUCGUAACAUAGUAGAGGUACCGGAAGGUGUCCCUAGUUAGUAAUCGAGUUAGAGCUUGAUAGAAAGCAUUCCAUUUACACUGGA
RNAcentral lists this ribosomal RNA (620 nucleotides) under Tetrathemis polleni. RNAcentral describes it as "partial 12S ribosomal RNA". The record is from RNAcentral. Lineage: Eukaryota; Metazoa; Arthropoda; Insecta; Odonata; Libellulidae.